Molecule: long non-coding RNA, 491 nt
Organism: Mastomys coucha (southern multimammate mouse)
Lineage: Eukaryota; Metazoa; Chordata; Mammalia; Rodentia; Muridae
Exons: 2
Source: RefSeq, a predicted model, not a curated record
GCAGGAUUUUUGGGUCUCUGGAGGAAAAGGAGACAGAUGCAAGGGAAGAGGAGAGAGUUCACCAUGCUUUGGAGAGAGAAGAAUCAGGUAAUCAUGCGAUGUCUCGAGAGGAGUGGUGGGCUGUGGCCGCUCCUAUAGGGGACAAGAUCUGUGGGGCAAGCCAACAAUGCCACCAGACAGAAGAACUGAGUGAGCUUGGACCCAGGAAUCUCAGAGGCUUCAGAUCAGCAGGAGUUGAGAUACACCCUACCUAUUUCUGCACCUGCUCUGGAACUGCCUUCUGGAUAUGUAACCAUGACACCCCACUGAGAGGACCAUGGCAACCAGUCAUGUAAGGAAACACCUGGAGUUCUUCCCCAUGCAAAGAGAGCAUCGCUAACUUCUCAAACUCAGCCAAUGGGAAACACCCACCUCGAAAUCUCACUCUACUCCCCAAUGUUUAUAUAGUCCCUGUUCACAUGGAAUAAAGCGCACACGCUGUUUCAUUGAGG